RNAcentral lists this ribosomal RNA (611 nucleotides) under uncultured bacterium. RNAcentral's name for it is "bacterial SSU rRNA". It matches the Rfam family "Bacterial small subunit ribosomal RNA", at positions 338 to 951 of the family's 1533-position model. The record is from RNAcentral.
CCUACGGGAGGCAGCAGUAAGGAAUAUUGGACAAUGCUCGCAAGAGUGAUCCAGCCAUGCCGCGUGCAGGAAGAAUGCCCUAUGGGUAGUAAACUGCUUUUGAACUAGAGAAAACCCCAGUACGUGUACUGGGCUGAUAGUAUAGUUAGAAUAAGCAUCGGCUAACUUCGUGCCAGCAGCCGCGGUAAGACGAAGGAUGCAAGCGUUAUCCGGAUUCAUUGGGUUUAAAGGGAGCGUAGGUGGACUUAUAAGUCAGUGGUGAAAUCUCCGAGCUUAACUCGGAAAUUGCCAUUGAUACUGUAGGUCUUGAGUACAGUUGCUGUGGGCGGAAUAUGACAUGUAGUGGUGAAAUACAUAGAGAUGUCAUAGAACACCGAUUGCGAAGGCAGCUCACAAAGCUGUAACUGACACUGAGGCUCGAAAGUGCGGGGAUCAAACAGGAUUAGAUACCCUGGUAGUCCGCACCGUAAACGAUGAUUACUCGCUGCUAGGGGGCAACCUUUAGUGGCUUAGCGAAAGCGAUAAGUAAUCCACCUGGGGAGUACGCCGGCAACGGUGAAACGUCAAAGGAAUUGACGGCNGAGAGNGCGAGGACGACACGAGGGAGGAGG